Triticum aestivum (bread wheat) is the source of this 10172-nucleotide long non-coding RNA. RefSeq lists it as uncharacterized. The record is from RefSeq and is a predicted model, not a curated record. NCBI's taxonomy places the organism in Eukaryota, Viridiplantae, Streptophyta, Magnoliopsida, Poales, Poaceae. The transcript is spliced from 2 exons.
UUCUUCCCCACGCCGCCACCUCCCAUCUCAGCUGCAGAUCUCGAUCUCGAUCUGUCUGGUUUCUGAACCUCUUUUCCGUUCCUCCUUCCCGGGGGAUUUCUGUUCCCAUCUGGGUUUGAGCACGGUGGGGGAUCGAUAUUCGGUCUCGUUCGUCGUAACUGUGCAUCGGAUUACAAAUACCUGAUCUGUUCUUUCUUGUUUUUUCUGUUCUUGAUUUGUUUUUUUUUUUUGCUUAUCGGUGGCCGAGGAUUAAAAUGAAUUAUAUAGACAAGCAUAUGUCUGAAUUCUCUUCAUGUGGAACGAUCUAAUCUUCUCUAUGAGGCCAGCGAUCUUGCUCGUUUCUUGAUCUGCAGUUUUAUUAGAUGCGUUCCGUGGUUGCGUGGUGCCGAUGAUGAUUAGUGUGAACCUUUCUCAAUGAAAUCACUAAUGAUUACAUAACCUACUGCCUUCCUUCCGAGGCGCCACGAUUCCUGGUUCCCUCGUCCUUUUUCGCCAGUUUUGUUCUUGUUUGUCUCUGGCGCUAUUGGUUUGCCAAGGUCGAAUGAUGAUCACAAGUGCAUAGUUCAUAUGAUCAAAUCGUGAUUACUUGAACAAAAAUAGUCUUUCGCUCCUAUCUGACGACCCUACACCCUUCCCUCUCAAACAAUUUGUGUGUUAUUUUGCUUGUUAUGUUUUGCAACCUCAUGUCUGAAUUUGUUGUAAAGGAUGGUGAAGAUUGAUACAGUAUUUGCCUUGCCGACAAUCCUGCUUAUUUGACAUAAUGGACAAGCAUAUGUCUCAAUUAUCUUCAUGUGGAAAGCAUAAUUAGCAAUGAGGUGAAAAUCUGAUUGUUUUUGUACCAGUAUAACGUGUCUGAGGUAGGCUGACUAUCAAAUGUUUAUAGUCACAGAUGACCAAACUGUAAUUACAUCAACAAAGUAGUCUUGAGCUUGUAGCUGAUGAAAUUUAGCUUCCCUGUUUAAUUUCAGUUAAAAUUUCAUACGAGAAACCAUACCUACUCAGUAAAGCUAUUUCGAUUUGAGGAAUAAUUUUGGAGAAUGUUUUAUUUACUCGAAUUUGGAGCAGUGGCGAGGCAAUCACUCAAUAUCUUUCCGGUUUGUUUAAUUGCUAUGUUCUUACCUAGCUUUGUGUACAGAACUCCCGUUCUACUACACAUUAGGCAGAACCUCACAUAGUACUUGUUCAUGAACUUAUUGUCAUCUCAAGAAAAAGAGACUUGUUGGGAUAAUAGAGAAAUGACAGAAUUGAUUAGGUGGCACUAGCAUAGUUAGCUGUUUUUGAAUUGGUAGACCAUCUACAAUAGAUACUUCGAUGUUUGCAAUAAUUCUCUAAACCAGUUUGAGGAUGAUGAUUACAUAUUUGUCGCCCCAGUCUUAGAUCCCCCUAGCGGAUCUUUGCUGAUUGACAUACUUCUGAAUCUGACUCAGCAGAUGAAAAUUUUGACAGUUGGGUUGAUUUUCUUUUCUAAUUUUCCUUGGGUGAUGGCAGUGACGAUUUGCAAACUUCAAGCUCAACAGACCAAAUCACAGGUUUUCUCCUAGUAGUUGAUUUGUAUGCCGAUUAUCCCGCUUAACCGAGCCAUCUGACAGAGUUCUUAAAACUGCUGCUCAAUGUUCUUAUCUCUGGAUCCUUCACUUCCAUGCUACUUUUUGUGUUUAUUUAUUUUUGCUUGUAUUGGAGGAAGUAGUUGCCAUGAGGAUAACAAGCCCCCUCUUCUGAAAGCAUCGAUGGCAUUCAGGGGCGGAUCCAGGCCCCCAGGGCCCAGGCCUGGGUUGUGAGGCCCAUACGCAGUGUAUAUUGUAGUAGUUACUGUAGACAUCUGCUACAGUGUACAAAGGCGUCCUGGGGCGGCCCACUGGGCUGUCUCCGCCCCUGAUGGCAUUGCUGGCAGAAUUGAACCAAUUAAAUCUUGCCACCACUAAGCAACUCUGUUUCUUCGUACAAUCUUUGUUGCUUCUUACUUCUACAAGAUCUGUUUGGAUCUCGGGGAGUAUUGAUGCAUAAUCCAACACUUGAUCUGAGGGCAGCUUAAGCCACCCAUAUGAUGUCAUCUUUGCAACUUAAUCCGUCAGAGUUCAGUGUUAUAUUUUCUGAAACAUAGAAACAAUCUUAGGACACCUUCUGAGAGAGUGCUUAAUUUUCUGUGAAUAAGAAGUCAUUUAUAUUCUGAUACAUCUUGUUUUCAUCAUUUUUUACCAUCUUGUCUUCUAAGUUAGAUCUAUAUAAUGCAAUUGAAGCCCAUGGUGAUUAGCUUUAUGUUGGAAUUACCGUCAGAUACCCAAUGACGAUAUUUUUGCGGCUUUCUGAGGCAUAAAACCAAUCGCUUCAGGUCUUGUAGUUUUUGCAUUGUUAAUUUCGUUCAUCUUAAAUUAUCCCUGUGAAGAUUCUCAGACCAUAGGAAGUGCUGACAACAGCUGCUUCUCUCCACUUCAAAUGUCCUCCUUUGAGCAUAGCCUUUGUGGUUCCAUUUGCAGCUGGUUUGGUUCAGCUGUGUGCGUGAUUUUAAGCGGGUCUCCGAGAGAUUCUCUUUAAUCUUGUUAGCUUUGUAUUUGGCCGGUCCAUAGUGCCUGUUAUUGUGAUGAUUUUUUUGUUAUGAGUAGUUAAUCAGUUGUGAUCAAUAUGAUUUGAUUAUUUGAUGAUGUGUUAUGGCAAUGAUGAUAAAUUAAAGGCUUGUUUCUCAAAACAUUCGCAGUUGCCGCCUAAGAGCUUUCGCCCUGCCAGGCUUGAGAGCUAAUGCUGCUAAUUCCUUCCUUGGAUGUCUGAGCCUUAUGAAAUCCCCAAUUUAUCUUUAUUCUAUUUUACUUUGUUGACUUCAUUUCUUGAUCUAUUUAUUCCGCCUUCUCUUCUUUGAUGCUUUAAUCUUGUUAAAUGUUGUUGUGUUUUGUUGGUUUCAUUCAGGGAGCACUGUCCCAUGUCUGCCCACUGUUUUCUCGAUGGAUCUGAGUUUGCAACGUCUAGAGGUAUUUUUCUUUCACAUUGGAUUCUUAAUUUUGCUUUCUGUUUAUUUCCCCUAACAUUUUUGUUUUGGUUUGGUUUAUUAGUGGCCGAGGAUUAAACUAAAUUAUAGACAAGCAUAUGUCUGAAUUUUCUUCAUGUGGAACGAUCUAAUCUUCUCUAUGAGGCCAAUGAUCUUGCUCGUUUCUUAAUAUGCAGUUUUAUUUGACGUGUUCUUGGUUGCGUGAUGCCGAUGAUGAUUAGUGUGAACCUUUCUCAAUGAAAUCACUAAUGAUUACAUAACCUACUGCCUUCCUUCUGAGGCACCAUGAUUCCUCGAUUCCUUGUCUUUUUCUGUCAUUUUUUUAUUGUCUCUUGACUUGUUGGUUUGCCAAGGUCGAAUGAUGAUCACAAGUGCAUAGUUCAUAUGAGCAAUUGUGAUUUCUUGAACAAAAAUGGUCUUUCGCUCCUAUCGGAUGACUUUUCAACCUCACCCUUUUUCAGAGGAAUCAAAAAAUUUAGUCUUUAGUCUGUUUUUUUAUUGUAUUUUACAUUUUUAUGCUACUAAGUUAUAAAAUGUAGAUGUCUGAAUUCCUUCGAGGACGGUGAAGAUUGAUAUUUGGUCUCGUUCGUCGUAACUGGCAUUUAUUUGCCUUGCCGACCAUCCUGCUAUAUCACCACCCAUAUUCCGAGUCCUCUUAGUACAUACUCAAGCAUAUAAUUGGUUUGAAAUGUUAAUUACUUUUGCUGUUUGGCCUAUAGAUGAACUAAACUAAUAGACAAGCAUAUGUCUCAAUUCUCUUCAUGUGGAAAGCAUAAUUAGCAAUGAGGUCAAAAUCUGAUUGUUUUUGUACUAGUAGUAUUUGGGUAGGCUGAUUAUGACAAGCGCAUAGCUCAGAUGACCAAACUGUGAUUACAUUAACAAAGCAGUCCUUCGCUAACUUUUGCUUUCCUCUUUAAUUUCAGUUAAAAAUGCAUACGAGGAACCAUAUUCUACUCAGUAAAGUUAUUUUGAUUUGAUGAAUAAUUUUGGAGAAUGUUUUAUUUACUUGAGUUUGGAGCAGUGAUGUGACAAUUACUCAAUAUGAUCUUUCAGGUGUGAUUAUCAAUUGCUAAGUUCUUAAGGAGCUCCAUAUAAGUAUGUGCAGAACUGUAAUCUUAAUGCCAUUGAACACUGGAAAGCCAUUCUACUGACACAGAACCUCUCACAUAGUAGUUGUUCAUGAAAUUAUUGUGCCUAGACAAGUCAAGAAAAAGAGAAGUGAUAGAAUAACAAAAAAAUGACUGAGGAGUAAUAAUUGGAAUUUCAUAUUUUUUGGGGAAUCUUUUAUUAAACGGCACUGUCGGCAAUGUCGGUUGACCAUCUACAGUACAGUACAUACUUUGAUCUUUGCAAUGAUUCUCCAAACCAGUUUGAGGGUGAUGAUUUCAUAUUUGUCGCCCCAGUCUUAGGAUCCGCUUUGGUGGAUCUGUGCUGAUUGGCAUACUAAUCUGACUCAUGAAAUUUUGAACAAUUGGUUUGAUUUUAUUUUCUACUUAUUUUCCUAGGGUGAUGGCAGUUACGAUUUGUAAAUAUUCAAGCUCAACAGACCAAAUCAUAGGUUUUCUCUCAGGAGUUGAUUUGUAUGCCAAUUAUCCUGCUGAACCGAGCCAUCUGACACUUGAGUUUUUAUUAAAACUGUUGUUCAUUGUUCUUAUCUCUGGAUCCUUCACUUCCAUGCUUCUUUUCGUGUUUAUUUAUUUUUGCUUGUAUUGGAGGAUGUAGUUGCAAUGAGGAUAACAAGCUCCCUCUUCUAAAUGCAUUGAUGACAUCGCUGGCAGAAUUGAACCUAUUAAAUAUUGCCACCACUGAGCAACUCUGUAUCUUUGUACAAUCUUUGUUGCUUCUUCUUACAUCUACAAGAUCUGUUUGGAUUGUGAGGAAGUAUUGAUGCAUAAUCCAACACUUGAUCUGAGGGCAGCUUGAGCAGCCCAUCUGAUGUCAUCUUUGCAACUGAAUCCAUCAGAUUUCAGUGUUAUUUUUUCUGAAACAUUGAAACAAUCUUAGGAUACCUUCUGACACGAUGCUUAAUUUUCUGUGAAUGAGAAGUCAUCUGUAUUCUGAUGAUACAUCUUGUUUUCAUCAUUUUUUAUUAUCUUGUCUUCUGAGUUAGAUCUAUAAUACAAUUGAAUCCCAUGAUGAUUAGCUUUAUGUUGGAAUUACCGUCAGAUACCCAAUGACGAUAUUUUUGCGGCUUUCUGAGGCAUAAAACCAAUAGCUUCAGGUCUUCUGUAGUUUUUGCAUUGUUAAUUUCGUUCAACUUAAAUUAUCCCUGUGAAGAUUCUCAGACCAUAGGAAGUGCCAUAUGACACUGUAAACAACAGCUGCUUCUCUCCACUGCAAGUGUCCUCCCUUGAGCAUAGCCUUUGUGGUUUUCUUUCCGUGUUAAUUUCGUUUUCUUUCGGCGAAGAUCCCAGCAGAGAGGUGUUGAAUCUCCCUCGUUGAGGCCUCUCUAACAAAUUUUUAAUCUUCGCACAGUGAGGAGACACCGUGGAUUUUGUGGAUGUGUGAUAUUCCUGGUUCUGUCACAUCUGUUGCUAUGGAUACAUCUUUAUCAUAACCUUCUGUUUUCCAUCCGAGGGACCUAUGGAUGGACAGCCCUUCCCGUGCUGUGUCUACCAAGUUUGCCUUUGGACACUAUAAAGCAAAUUGUUCUUCAAUCAUCUUGCUUCAAACUCUUUAUUUUUUGUGAGGUUGAAACUUUUGCUGACAUUUGAUUUAUGUAUAGCCAAUGAAUUUUUGUUUCUAAUUUUCAGUCUUGCAAAUCAGACCCAACGAGCGACGAUUCAGGCAGCCCUUUUGUCCAUUACAAUGGCAAUGGAGGUGUUGCGUUGCUCGGAGAUUAAAUCUUCUGCUCUUCAGAUUAGCUGAGUGGGAGGCUCUGCUUCCCUCGUUGAAGCUUGUCUAGUAGUCUUAAGAACAUCUAAUAGCCCUCGUUACAAACUUUGUCGAACAUUGUAGUUCUGUGAUGAGCGAUGAUUCAGGCAGCCUCUUUAUCAUUACAGUGGCAUUGGAGGUGUUGCGUUGCUCGGAUAGUAAACCUUUUGCUCUUCAGAUUAGCUGAGGGGGAGGCUCCUGCUUCCCUCCCUGAAAGCUGGUCUAGUAGUCUUAAGAACAUUAUUAUAAGUAUGUUUCUCAUACCCGAUUUUAAUUUUGACCUUUUUUGUUUGUGAAAUGGUAAUUCAAUAAUUGGUUGGUGAUCCAUGAAAACAAAUGAUGAUAGCAAGACAGGGACAUCAGAACCCUGAAUUUCAGGGUUAUGACAGAUUACGUCUAUAAUGGGAAUCUCUCUGAUGUUUUCGAUUCCCCAAGUUAAAUUGAUCUGUUUUUUCCUUUUCAAUCAGUCUUCUUUGGAAUAUGCUCUUGCAAUUCAGAUCUUGGAUGGCAAUGCUCAGCCCAUGGUCGGCCUCAUCGUGCAUACAGCUAGAUAGAUCCAACGAUAUAUAAAGCAGUUACACAAUUGGCAACUGAAGCUUAAUAACAUUUACAUGAAAGUGAACAGAGAUUUUUUAUCUAAAAACAAUGAACAUACUGACCUGGAUCUACUUUUAUUUAUAGGAUAGGAAAAAUGGUGAACUGUUAAUGAACAUGAAACUAACCCAAAGGCUUGCAGAUGGGGCCCUACAAUGGCAAUGCUCAAUUUGAUAUUCUUUUGGUUGAUCAGAGUUUGGUCAGUUCAAUACGCGAAACAAAUCACAUUAGCAUACAGCUAAAAUUGAUCCACAGAUGACAUCUGUUUACAUCAUUUGAAGCUUAGCAAAACUUGUGGAAUUUUAAAUGUCGGCCUUGUCUGAAAAAAAUACCAAUCUGUUGAUGCAUCCGUGCAAAUGUUCUGAGGGACAAUUUCCUUUUGAGAUUUUGAUUUAAUGCUUAAAGCUGUCCGAUGAUGAUCAAACUAAAUACUUUCAUUCUUCUGAUGUGCUAUCUCAUGGCGCUGUGCGGAAGCAAUUUGGAGACCUGAACUGAGGAAAUGCUUGAUUUGUUCUUGCCACUGCAAGAUUUGCUAUUUUUUUCAUGUUUUCUCUGCUUGUACUUUGAGAUGGAAAAUUGUUUUUGUGUUUGUUGCUUCACAACUGGAAGGAUGGCCUGUUGAUAACAGUUUGGUCAUCCCGUAGAGGGAAGCAUAGAUGAAUGGAAACACCGGCCAGUAUUAAACAGCAUGACGCUCUGUCAAACCGCGUCAUGUUACCUGUCUUCUGGCACAUUUCUAACAUCGUACAUAUUUUUAUUUCUCAGAGAUUUUAGUUCCUGAGUCUGUAGCUUGUUAAUUUGGCGGAAGAAAGCCAGCAUUGCACGUGCUUUGGAGGAUUAAACUUGCAGAAAGCUCAGUUAGUUUUGUUCGGUGAUGAUCAAACUAAAUUCUUUUGUUCUUCUGAAGUUCUGAUGCUCUAUCUCAUAGCUUGGUGCAGAAGAACACCUAUGUUUAUCAACCACAAGAGCGUCAUUGCCAAAACAAACGGAUGAACAUAUUAUGCAUUCUGAUUGACAAAGCAAUUUACAUGAUUUUAGCAGAGUCCACUGUACUUGAUCUUUGAGUGACCAAACAACUGACAAGUCUUUGUUGAGAAAACCCUUUGAGAGACCACUGAAUUUGUUCCUGUAGUAGUCGUGGCAUGGGGCCUUGAUUAUUUUUGCAAUGAUGAUACUAUUACCCAGCUCAUUAUGAGACUUCCCUUUGUGGGCAGUCGUGAUAUGAACAUCUCUUUUGUAUCUGAGCCCACUCACAUUUUUCUUAUGAUUUCUUCAUUACAGUUUGGUACAGCCUAUGAAGGCUCUUCCUAGUUUUUGGGAAAAUGAACACAGCUAGACUGUAACUGCUGCAGUGAUGAUAUAAUCCUUGUCUCCCUUUUCUAACAUCCUCGGUUGUAAUAACUGAAUGAGCAAUGAUGUAGGCAGCCUCUUUGUCCGAUUACAUUGGCAAUGGAGGUGUUGUGUUGCUUAAUUUGAUAAUCUUUUGGUUGCUCAUUGUUUGGUCAGAUCAAUAUGCAAAGCAAAUCAGCUGCAACAUUAAACAUACAGCAAGAUUGAUCCAAAGAUGCAUCAGUUUACAUCAUUUGCAACUGAAGCUUAGCACUUGUGCAAUUUUAAGUUUCAACCUUGUCUGGAAAAAUACCAAUCUGUUGAGGGACUAUUUCUUUUCGAGAUCUUUUUUUGUACUGGAUAAAGCUGUCUGAUGAUCAAACUAAAUACUUCAUUCUUCUGAUGCGCUCAGUGCGGAAGCGAGUUAUUGUUAAAAUUGCAUAUUUUUUAUCGUAGUGUUGCAAAUCAAAAUGAUUAUUCUUUCUUCUUGUUGUACUUCUUUUGCGGUAUUUUUUCUUGGCAUACACUCCUUCACAUCUGUAGGAAUGCCCUGAUGUAUACAGUAUUUUUUUAAAACUGCACACAUUGUACUGUCGAAUGCUAGCGGUCAAAUCUAAAAUCUUCUGAUCUUCAGAUUAGCUGAGGGGGAGGCUUUGCUUCCCUCACUGACGCUCGUCUUAAGAACAUUUUCUAUCUGUUUCGAACACAAUUUGGUUUCUUUUACAGUGUCUUAAGGAUGAUCUACCUGUUUCUUACAAAUUUAGUUUCCUUUGUGUUUUGGUUGCGGGUUGCCUACCCAAGGGACCUAUGGAUGGACAGCCCUGCCCGUGCGAAUGUUCAUUAAUCAUCUUUAUGGAUCUCAGUUUUUUCUUGUGAUAAUAAUGUUUGCUGUCAUUUGAUUUAAGUUUGGUUAAACAAAAUAUCUCCUGUAUUAUGUUUUUCAGUCUUAAAAUCAUGAAAAUUAUGGAACAAGUUAUGAUUCAGUGGAAUGGAGGUGUUGUGUUGAUUAGAGAUUAAAUCUUCUGCUCUUUAGAUUAGCUGAGGGGCAGGCUCUGGCUUCCCACUCUGAAGCUUGCCUAGUAGUCUUAAGAACAUUAUCUAUCUUUUUCAAUUCAAUUUGCUAUUCUUUUGUUUGACGUUUUUGACCUAUCAAUCAGUGCUUGGUCAGUUGAGUACGUGAAGUGAGUCACAAUUUUGCUGGUUCUUUUGCAUCUUCUUUUGUGAAAAUUCACCUAGACAACUUGAUGGAGCUAUCAGCGAUUCAGGCAGCCCUUUUUUCUGAUUACAAUGGCAAUGGAGGUGUUGCAUUGCUCGGAGAGUGAAUCUUCUGCUCUUCAGAUUAGCCGAGAAUUAAAGAACCACAUGAUUUGGUUACUCUAUGCUUUGCUGGCAGUAAAUUUCUUGUUUGGGGAUCAACGGAAGCAAAUGAUGAUAGCAAGACAGGGACAUCAGAACCCUGAAUUUCAGGUUAAUGACAGACUACGUCUAUAAUGGGAAUCUCUCUGAUGUUUCUGAUUUUCCCCAAGAUAAAUUGAUCUAUUUUUAUGUCUAUUCUUUUUUCAUAUUUUCUCCUUCUCAUUCUUCUUCGGAAUCCAGAUCUCUUUCCUGUUUGUUAACUUUUGGCUAUUCGGAUCUUGAAUGCGAACACUUCAAGCAGAUCAUGGUCACAAGAUUGUUACACCAUUGGCAACUGAAGCUUAACAACACAUGAAUAUGAUCAGAUAUUUUGUAUUGGAAAAACAGUGAACAUGAUCUUUAGCUGACUCAAGGCUACUUUUAUUCAUAGGAAUAGGAAAGAUGGCGGAUUGCCAUACCUUGCCCAUUCGAAUCCUAUGGGUGCAAAACAAAGGAAUCGAUCCAAGUGUUUUUUUGAUGGAAGCAUAGGAAUGUUUCACACAUCUUUCCAAGAGCUUGCAACUAUAAAAAUCAUAUAAAAAUAAUAUGAAUCACAAGGCCUUGUAAAUAGGGCAUUUGACUGAACAUGAUUAGACGUUUUGACUAAAAAAACAACCUCAUGACCCUAGCGCUGCCUUGAGCUCCCCCUCCUCCUACCUUCCUUCCCUCGCCGCCGCCUCGACAUUCCGCUCGGCUCGGCGGGCGCAGGCCUCAAGGUCGGGCGGUGGCGCUAUGUUGGCUCGGGGCAUGGUGGUGCGGCGGCGGCGGAUACGUGGGCUAUGGGCGGCGGCAUGAAGGGGCUGCAACAGCGGUGGUGUGUGUUGAACAUAUGGGUUGUGCAUGUAUAUUGUGUAACUCGGCCCAUCUCCUAGUCCUUGUAUAGUUGAGGUUGGGGCUCACAUUAUACUCCAUAUAUACGUGCGUUUUGCACCGAUCAAUACAUUAUGUAGCAUUGUCAAACUUGUUUCCAACAUGGUAUCAUACCUUAAAUCCUAAAUCCUAA